UGAGGAAUAUUGGUCAAUGGGCGGAAGCCUGAACCAGCCAAGUCGCGUGAGGGAAGACGGCCCUAAGGGUUGUAAACCUCUUUUGCCGGGGAGCAAGAGCGCCGUGCGCGGUGCUAUGAGAGUACCCGGAGAAAAAGCAUCGGCUAACUCCGUGCCAGCAGCCGCGGUAAUACGGGGGAUGCGAGCGUUAUCCGGAUUCAUUGGGUUUAAAGGGUGCGUAGGCGGCUUCGCAAGUCAGCGAUGAAAGGCCCGGGCUCAACCCGGAAAGUGCCGUUGAUACUGUGAGGCUGGAAUGCGGAUGCUGUGGGAGGAAUGAGUGGUGUAGCGGUGAAAUGCAUAGAUAUCACUCAGAACACCGAUUGCGAAGGCAUCUCACAAAUCCGCUAUUGACGCUGAGGCACG
Molecule: ribosomal RNA, 402 nt
Filed under: uncultured Barnesiella sp.
Lineage: Bacteria; Pseudomonadati; Bacteroidota; Bacteroidia; Bacteroidales; Barnesiellaceae
Description: bacterial SSU rRNA
Rfam family: Bacterial small subunit ribosomal RNA
Source: RNAcentral